Hibiscus syriacus is the source of this 193-nucleotide long non-coding RNA. RefSeq lists it as uncharacterized. Lineage: Eukaryota; Viridiplantae; Streptophyta; Magnoliopsida; Malvales; Malvaceae. The record is from RefSeq and is a predicted model, not a curated record. The transcript is spliced from 3 exons.
UUUACUUGCAGAACCUAAUAGUGAGCAUGUUUUAGUAGAUGGAGUGUUAUGUUUUGGGAAGGAAAACUUAGAGAAACACUUGAAAAUGGAAGACUUCUUCUCUUGUGCUCUUGAUUACAGCUGGAAAAUUAAUUGUGGUGAGGUCUAAGGUCAAGGAGGAGAUGAUUUGAAGCUUGAAAUUCUUGAUGGAUUG